AGCGAACGCUGGCGGCAGGCUUAACACAUGCAAGUCGAACGGGCAUCUUCGGAUGUCAGUGGCAGACGGGUGAGUAACACGUGGGAACGUACCCUUCGGUUCGGAAUAACUCAGGGAAACUUGAGCUAAUACCGGAUACGCCCUUUUGGGGAAAGGUUUACUGCCGAAGGAUCGGCCCGCGUCUGAUUAGCUUGUUGGUGGGGUAACGGCCUACCAAGGCGACGAUCAGUAGCGGGUCUGAGAGGAUGAUCAGCCACACUGGGACUGAGACACGGCCCAGACUCCUACGGGAGGCAGCAGUGGGGAAUAUUGGACAAUGGGCGCAAGCCUGAUCCAGCCAUGCCGCGUGAGUGAUGAAGGCCUUAGGGUUGUAAAGCUCUUUUGUCCGGGACGAUAAUGACGGUACCGGAAGAAUAAGCCCCGGCUAACUUCGUG
RNAcentral lists this ribosomal RNA (435 nucleotides) under uncultured bacterium. RNAcentral describes it as "partial 16S ribosomal RNA". It matches the Rfam family "Bacterial small subunit ribosomal RNA", at positions 29 to 507 of the family's 1533-position model. The record is from RNAcentral.